AUGAAAGAUGCAUAUUUGGAUUAGAUUGCUAUUUAUUCAUAUAUUUAUUUAAGUAAUUGGUGAGACACGAACAAAAAAAUGCAGAGUUGAAAGAUUGGCUUGGAUUGAAAUGAUAAGAAAUGUGUGAGGUAUUUUGGCUUCUGAUCAAUAUUUGUAUUCAGUCUGAAAUCUAAAGUAUGUAUAAUAAAAGGAAAAUAGGUAAGAGUAAUAUCCAACUGUAAUUUCUUCCCAUUUUAUAGUCCAAAUUUUAAAAUAGGAAGGACAUUCAAGAAAAUAGUGCUAUGCAACCUUGAUUACUCUCUACUAAAAUGAUUCAAUAGAACUUGAAUAAAACUGUCUUGCCUAGGAACUGAGGCACAUUGGAUAAGUGUCUCAAAUUUUUUUAAAUAAAGGACUGGGGAUGUAAGUCAGUGGUAAAGUACUUCUGGGUUCAAUUCCCAGUACCCCCUCCAAGUCCUUUUAGAUCAUGGUCAACACCCCUCCUGGAACCAGCUCAUUCUAGCAUUGCCAGGAGCCCUGUAUUUCCCAUCUAACCAACAAAGGCUCCAUUUAGCUCUUAACACAGCUUGGUUUGGAGUCCAGUGAAUCUACAGCCAUUAUUAGCAUGGUGGGUAGUUUCCAGAUGAUCUUUGGAAAGAAGCUGCCAGAAGUUUAGGUGGUUCCUAAACUCAUUCACAGAGCAACUCAUUGAAUUAACGUAGUUCAUGACUCUUCAAUAACUUUUGCUUCACCUUUACUGUUUUGUAAUUGUUAUUAGUAAUGUGACUAUCACUUGGACAUUGCUUUUCAGUUUAUAAAUGUUUUUCACAUAUUUUCUUAAUUCAUAGGACAAUGUAUUGUGGACCUUGCUCUUUUGUAUUUUAUUUUAUUUUUUGGUACUCGGGGUUGAACCCAGGAGCACUCAACCACUGAAUUAUAUCCCCAGCCCUUUUUUAUAUUUUUUUGAGACAGGGUCUCACUGAGUUGCUUAGGACCUCACUAAGUUGCUAAGGCUGGCUUUGAACUCGAUGAUCCUCUUGCCUCAGCCUCCCAAGCUACUGGGAUUACAGGAGUGAGCCAUAGCUCCCGGCCUCUUUUGUAUUUUAGUGGGGUUGAAAUUCAUUUGGUUUAAUAAAGACUAGGUUUUGUAAAGAAUGGAAAUCCCUGAUAUUGAGAGGAAGUAGACUACAAGUAAAAUUCACCUUCCCUCAGCCUCCAGAGAAAAUGAAAAUUGAACUUUCUCAUAAACAAAGAAUCUUGCAUCUUAAGUCCUAGCAUUUACUGGACAUAUUACAUAACACUUUGGCCUCUAAUUUCCUCAUUCUUUGUAGGGAAAAGGGACUUAAGAAUGUGAAGACAGAUGUUGAUUGAGCCCAAAUACAUUCUAGUAAUGUGAAACACUAGGAAUAAAGAUAGCAGUGAAUUUAAUCAUUAUGUCUUUUUUUUUUGGCCUCAGUUUUUUAAUUACCCUUCUCUAAAGGAUCACCCAAAUAUACAUAGAACUUGAAUGGGACUUAUUAACAUACUUACCACAGUGAUAGACCUUUCGUUUUCGAGAUAAUACUCCGAGAAAGAAACUUGACCGACCCAAAUAGUAAAAAUUUUCGUUACAAGUACCUAGAACAGUAUUUGGCAGAGCCUGAGCCAAUCACAGCCAUAACUCUACCUUUUCUGCAUGAUAUCUCAACAAGAAUUGCUGGUUUGCUAUUUUCUUAGGAUUCUAGUUUUGAAAUUAUCUCUUAAAAAAAGAUAAUUUUCAGGCUGGGGAUACAGCUCAGUUGGUAGAAUGCUUGCCUUGCAUGCACACUGCCCUGGGUUUGAUCCCCAGCACCACCAAAAAUAAUAAUAAUUUUCCUUCCUCUACCUAUAAUAUAUAAACAGUUCCC
This 1865-nucleotide long non-coding RNA is filed under the name Marmota monax (woodchuck). Lineage: Eukaryota; Metazoa; Chordata; Mammalia; Rodentia; Sciuridae. The record is from RNAcentral.